CCCCUUAUGACCUGGGGUACCCCCGUGGUUCAAUGGACAGAACAAAGGGGUGCAAGGCCCCGAGGGGGAGCCAAUUUCAUAAAACCGUUUUCAGUUUGGGAUGCAGGGUGCAACUUGGCUGCCUGAAGCUGGAAUUGGUUGUAAUUGCGGAUCAGCAUGCCGCGGUGAAUACGUUUCCGGGCCUUGUACACCCCGCCCGUCACCCCCCGAGAGUUUCAACACCCGAAGUCGGUGGGGUAACCUUUUUGGAGCCAGCCGCCUAAGGUGG
RNAcentral lists this ribosomal RNA (268 nucleotides) under Bacillus thuringiensis. RNAcentral's name for it is "partial 16S ribosomal RNA". It matches the Rfam family "Bacterial small subunit ribosomal RNA", at positions 1198 to 1465 of the family's 1533-position model. The record is from RNAcentral. Lineage: Bacteria; Bacillati; Bacillota; Bacilli; Caryophanales; Bacillaceae.